Molecule: small RNA, 412 nt
Filed under: Malus domestica (apple)
Lineage: Eukaryota; Viridiplantae; Streptophyta; Magnoliopsida; Rosales; Rosaceae
Description: sRNA MD03G0024400
Source: RNAcentral
UUUCAGGUUAGUAAACAUGUCCCUAACUAUAAGUGUAAUUUGUGUAAUAGUACAAUAAAUGUGGGAAAAUUUAAGAAUCAGCGUGAUUGUAGUAUUUACGUUAAUAAACGGGAAAUUUGAAAAAGUAACCAUAUUUUAGCCUCUAUAUAGAAUUAUAGCCACCAUUUUAGUUUUAUGAUAAUUUUAACCAAAACUUGAUGUAAAAGUACUAAUAUACCCUUAAUAUUAGGAUUUCUCAUAAAAAAAACAAAACCUCUUUUAAACUCUCUCGCAACCUUUUGGUUUCACCUUAAACCAGAAGAGCACUCUUUGCCAAUUUUGCAUAAUUAAGCAGCAGGGAUGUUCUGACAAAAAAAAAGGCAGCAAGACGCAUCAGCCUUUUCAAAUUGUCCAGGAAACAAUGUGGCUAUAA